This 3272-nucleotide unclassified non-coding RNA is filed under the name Leishmania donovani. RNAcentral's name for it is "gene:LdHU3.24.1960(CDS-product:hypothetical_prote in_conserved)". Lineage: Eukaryota; Euglenozoa; Kinetoplastea; Trypanosomatida; Trypanosomatidae. The record is from RNAcentral.
CCCUCGUGGCGCUCCACACACACACACACACGCACACGAGCGCAGCUCAACGCAGACACGCUUUCGCACGCGUCCAUCGAUAUAUACGUAGGCAGGGCAUUCUCACUGCAACGCAGGGGAGGGUAUGUACGUGACGCAGCAGCAUGCGCAGGAGGCAGAAGCGUUAAACGUGCAUCUUCUGGACGACGUGAAUCAGCUUGCCCGGCUGGGACAGUACCUUCCAGCGCAUAUCUUCGGCACAGUUCUGCCUCUGGUAGGCGAUGAGAUUGCAAGCGGUGCGGCGGAGCUGAACGCGCAGGUGGAAGGUACGCGCCAGCUUCUCUUGCAAUCGGCGGUGCUGCGGCGGUCGACCGUGCUGGCCCCACUGUUGAAGCAGCAGCUUGUCACGCGGGCCAUCCAGCUUCAACGACGCCGUGCACAGCUGGUGCAGCAGCUCCAGCGCCAGAUUCGACACUGGCGCUCGGCUCCACCAGGAGUCGGCGCGGCUUCAGUUUCCAGCGGCGGUGGGCCCUACAGACGCGGUGGCCCACUGAGCGGGUCAGCAGCAGCGGACCCUGCGCACACUGGCGAGGGGGCACUGCGCGGGACAUGGGCCACGCUGCGGGAGGCGUUCCGCUUUGAGGAGGGCAAGGCACACCUUGUGCAGGCCCCACUGUGCCCGUCCGCUGCCGCGUUACGCGCGCUUCUGGCCGAGGUGGUGGCGGGGGGCCAGAGCGGGCUGCACCGACGUGUUGUGGAGCAGGUGGCCGGUACCAGCCCGCAUCACGGCCAAAGUCCCACCACAGCCUCCCCCUCCACCGGGGCUCUCGGAAGCUCUCCCAAGGGCGACCGUGAUGCAGACAUGGGCGGCAGCGGCGGCAGUGCCGAGGACGCAAUCGAAGCUGCGCUACAGCUCCUCCUCCGCUACGCAAGGCAGACACGGGCGGAGGAAACGCGGGUCGAUCGCACUGCAGCACGAGGAAGGGCGCCGCGGUCUGGGGCAUCGUUGCCGACGCCUGCUUCGUCGGCGCCUCUCACCGGAGCCACCGCCUUCCAAGCCUCUGAGGUCGAUGGUCGCCUACAAGCUUCAGAUCUGACCGGUGUGUGUAACGUGGACGUGCGCUCCGACGACGCGGAGGAGGACGUUUUUGAGAGCAGCCCAGCUCUCCGGCAUCAGAGCGCCACCACAAGCGCUGAAGCACCAGGUAGCGACGCCGCUUCUCCGACAACACAAACGACCUCUGCCGCAGGGGCGGCACCAGAAGAAGCUUCCAUGUGGCUCCGCGUCCCUGGCAUUCUACCCCUCGGCCAGUACUGCGCGGAGCUACCGUGGGUAGCCGACCUCGCCGACCAGCGGUACACCGAAGCACGGGAGCGCAGGAAGCAUGGCAACGGCGGCGCUGGUGAGGUGGGCUACAUCAGCCGCCAUGUGCAGCCUGGGGAACAGGGCAGCGGCGAGGGUGUGGAAGGUAGGGAGGCGCGCUACGAGGCUGGCUACAUCGCCCCCACCCCCGCAGCCCUGCAGAUGAUGCCGCCAAUCGGCUACCUCUUUGCCCCUGCGUUGGCGGGCGGCUCUGUUGGUAGCGCCUGCAGCAGCGGCGAGUCCGUCGUUGGGCGUGCCAUGCGCCAUGCCGCUGGUGGUGCGGCAGGUGCCCCGGGCGCGGCACCUGCCGACUUCCACGCAGACCGCGAAGGGGCUUCCUCUGCGCAAGAGGAGGAGCGCUCGUGGCUGGCGCGUGUAGUGGUCAAGUGCGUCUCCGCUGCCGUGGAUGCAGCUUGGCAGAAUGUGGAGGAGACCGUGGUGGCGCCUUUCUGCGCUCAGCGGCGCCGUGACUUCUCAUCCCGGGUGCUCUCCGCUAAGGCCGCGCUUGCUGCUGCAGAUACGGGUGCUUCGGCAAGGGGAGGAGAAGCUGCAGACGACGAGGAGGAGGUGAUCACGCAGUUCAUGGAGGUACUGCGCGUGCGCUACGCUGUGGAGCUGGCGGCCCAGGUCUUGGCGGCACGCCACGCCACGGAGCUGCUGCUGGACAGCGAGGACAGCGUGAUCUUUGCCGAAAGGCGCCUCGUUUCAUUAGUGGUCGGCGGCGGUGCUUCUGUGGCAGCUGCGUGCAGCGGGGGCCGCGGCACGGCGGCGGCUCAGCGAGCGUCACCGUCUCCAGCGCCGGUGCUCACCUGCACGGUGCUCAGCCUUCCAGGGGUGAAGGAAAUCUUCUACGUGCUGGCGUACUGCACGGGAGCCGCUCUGCUGUGUGAUGUGGCCGCCGCUGCAGCGGCUUUCGGCGACGAUGUCGGCGGCCGACGGGGAGGCGCAGGUGCGCGACAGCGACAAGAGUACCUGAUGGUGGACGUGGACGCAGAGGAUAACGAGGAGGAGGAUCUGCAGGAGGAAAGACACCCGGGGAAAGACGACAACCGCCUGACUGAUGGCCCUCGACGCGUCCGCUCUCCCUCCGCGGCACAGCGUGCAGACCUUGCCAACGAAGAGGACCCUGUUGCCCGGCGGCAAGCGUCUCUGCAGGCGUGGGCUACGCUCUUCGAGGCCGAGUACCUAAGAGGUUGCCACAACACUGCCGCCUUCGCGGAUGCGCCUUGGUCUGCCGGUCCGGCGUCGGUGUAUUCGUCUUGGUCGCUGGCCCCCUACUACCGUCUGUGGCUGUACAUGUGGGAGUACGUGCUAAUCGUGGAAGCGCCUGCGCCCUCAUCGGCGAAUCCUCUGCACAGCGGCGGCGCCGGUCUCGCUCAGCUUCCCGUUGAAUUGCGCACGGCGCGGCGCUGGAUGGAAAAGGUUAUCCGCGCGUCUGUGAUGCAUGGCUGCGCCGAGGCGGGACUGCUGGUGAGCAGUGCCACGCCGGCGAGCCUCGCAUAUGAGCCAACGGCGUGCCUGCAGGCGCACCUAUCCGCGGAACAGACGGAGCGACUAAUGCAGGCGACAACAGUGCAAGCGCGUCACGCGCUCUUGCAUGUGUCCGGGGCUGGUGGGGGCGCAGGGACAGCAACAUAUCCCUGAUGCUCCCCUGCGUUCGUGCUCGUGGUAGUUGCAGCACACUGUCACCUGGCGAGUAGUGCCACGCUCUGUGUGCUGUGCGAACGUGGACACAUGGGCAGAUGCUGGCUGCUGUUUGCGUUGAUACGUCUUGUUGAAUUUCUCUUUGGCGAGGCAUCGCUGUUCCGCUCCGGGGUGUCCGUGCGCACGUGCUCCUAGAAGCGUACAGCAGACUUGAAGGACAUGUCUGGGCCGGUAAGAUACGAUGGCUGAAGCGAAAGGAGGAGGCGCGCUUCGAAAGAAAAAGGAC